This 253-nucleotide ribosomal RNA is filed under the name uncultured bacterium. RNAcentral's name for it is "partial 16S ribosomal RNA". It matches the Rfam family "Bacterial small subunit ribosomal RNA", at positions 524 to 776 of the family's 1533-position model. The record is from RNAcentral.
AACGUAGGUGACAAACGUUAUCCGGAGUUACUGGGCGUAAAGGGCGUGCAGGUGGUCUGUUAAGUCUGGCGUGAAAGCUCCUGGCUAAACCGGGAGAGGUCGUUGGAUACUGGCGGACUAGAGGACGUGAGAGGCGUUUGGAAUUCCUGGUGUAGCGGUGGAAUGCGCAGAUAUCAGGAGGAACACCCAUAGCGAAGGCAGCUUGCUGGGACGUUACUGACGCUAAGGCGCGAAAGCGUGGGGAGCGAACAGG